Molecule: long non-coding RNA, 725 nt
Filed under: Rattus norvegicus (Norway rat)
Lineage: Eukaryota; Metazoa; Chordata; Mammalia; Rodentia; Muridae
Description: long non-coding RNA NONRATT033128
Source: RNAcentral
CCUAGAUCUCUUUAAGCUGGAAUUUGAAGACUUGUGAGCCAUGACUUGGAUAUUCUGGAGCAAGGCCAAAAGCUCUGCUACAGAUACACAUGAGCUGAAGCUCUGAGCCACUCUUCAGAUAUUAGAAUGGCUCUCCAGCUUGUUUCUUGGAACAUUUUGCUUGGAAAAUUGUUCAUAUCUCAUUCCCAAAUAUUAUAUUAUUUUUCUUAAUGUUGCCAGAGAUAUCUUUUUUUACCUCUGAUAUUCACCUCUUUCCUGUUUGCAUUUGACUUGUGAGGAUCAUCCCAUUGCUCCGUGCUCUGACCUGGACCCCUUCGUGUACUGAGCUGUGAUAAUCUUUAUAAGCAUUUGUCUGCUGGCUUAAAUAGACCAAAAACUUAAAAAUAAAUCUCUGGUGCCAUGUUUUGGCUUCUCUUCUGAGCUUCCUUGGACUUUCCAUGGAUGUCACGUGUUGAUUGAGUGAGAGACUACAUAAAGUUCACAAUGAAAAGCAAGGGGCCUGUCAGAGGAAGAACGUCUCAUAACCAUAUUAGGAAACAUGAAAGGUCCAUUCAGAGAAGGCAGAGAUUAGAGAUGGAAAAUAUCUAGACAAGAGCCGGAGCUUCUCAAUAAGGAAAUAGCACCUUACUGACAACGCGAUGGACAGACAGAAGCCAAGACACACUGACAUGUCGGAAGUCAAGGGUCUAUCAGGAUUUGACCUGUCUCUGAGAGAAAGAAGAAAG